Dermatophagoides farinae (American house dust mite) is the source of this 1099-nucleotide non-coding RNA. The record is from RefSeq and is a predicted model, not a curated record. NCBI's taxonomy places the organism in Eukaryota, Metazoa, Arthropoda, Arachnida, Sarcoptiformes, Pyroglyphidae.
AACAAAAAAAAAAAAAAUCGUCAUAAAUGAUUUCGGCUAUUUUGUACAUUGUUUGUGUUGACCUAAACCCAAAGAUUCAUCACCAUUUAAAUCUAUUCAUUCAUCGAUAAAUAACAUAUAUCGUUGGACGUUUGUUUUUGUUGUUCUGGCUGUAUUAUAUUAUGGUUUGGUUUGCUAAAAGAAGAAUGUCUCUAUUUUUUCCAACUUGCUCGAUUGUAUUUACCGAGUUGAUGAUUUAAAUACAACUUUUUUUUUUUGCUUGGUUAAUCUCCAUGUCCAUUUUUCUUCAGUAUCAGAUCGACAACAUAUGGAAACCAGAUUUUUUUGUUAUUUAAGUUUGUUGUUGUUGUUUGUGUGUUCAUCGUGGCGUAUCUUUGUGUGUGUGCGUUUGUGUGUGUCCGAACAUGAAAUUUGAAUCAAUUUAUUGAAAGAUGAUCAAUAUUCAGUCGACAAAUGACAAACUAUUGUUCAUCACUUUAUUCCAUCAUUCAUCGAUGUUUUUUAAUCAUAUCCAAUUUAUAUAGUGACCAUCAUCAUCCUUAUCAUUCUAUCAGUUUAAAAUGUAGAUUGUUUACUUAUUAAUACCGAUAAUUUGACAAAAAUCACUUACACACACACACACAAACACACAAAAUAUUCUUCUUUUCACUCUAAAAAACAUUUCAUCAAACUCAUCGUUGUUGUUGUCAUCGUGGUUGAAUAUAAUUCGGCUCCCAAAGUCUACAUUUGUGAAUCCAACACACACACACACAUCUAUAUAUGAUGUUAUAACAAUUCUAUAUAUUCAUAUUGCUACUACCCAGAAAACUGUUUUUUUUAUCCUCGAAACAAAACAAAAAAAAAAAAAAAUCUUCAUUCAAACAACCAGAAUCAUGAUAUUAAUCAAUGACUUUGUGUUUAUGUUUAGGUUUCGGUUUCUAUUCUACGAGCUUCUGAUACAAUGAUAACAGUACAGGAAAAAAAAAUACUCGAUCGAAUGUUGAUGAUGAUGAAAAUGAAAAAACCAAAACAUUCUAAAUAGUAGCAGUAUAUAGAGAAUCCUGAAAAGUAUGUGUGUAUAUAUGGUUCAUCUAUCAUUCUCAACAACAACAACAACAAC